UUCUAAGGGCGGUGAAGUCAGACCGGAAGGACUGGUGGAGCGCUUAGAAGUGAGAAUGCCGGUAUGAGUAGCGAAAGAAGGGUGAGAAUCCCUUCCACCGAAUAUCUAAGGUUUCCUGAGGAAGGCUCGUCCGCUCAGGGUUAGUCGGGACCUAAGCCGAGGCCGAUAGGCGUAGGCGAUGGACAACAGGUAGAGAUUCCUGUACCAGUGCUAAUUGUUUAACCGAUGGGGUGACACAGAAGGAUAGGGAAUCGCACGAAUGGAAAUGUGCGUCCAAGCAGUGAGUGUGAGAAGUAGGCAAAUCCGCUUCUCGCGAAGCAUGAGCUGUGAUGGGGAAGGAAAUUAAGUACGGAAGUUCCUGAUUUCACGCUGUCAAGAAAAGCCUCUAGGAAGAGUAGUACUGCCCGUACCGCAAACCGACACAGGUAGAUGAGGAGAGAAUCCUAAGGUGAGCGAGAGAACUCUCGUUAAGGAACUCGGCAAAAUGACCCCGUAACUUCGGGAGAAGGGGUGCUCUAUUAGGGUGCAAGCCCGAGAGAGCCGCAGUGAAUAGGCCCAGGCGACUGUUUAGCAAAAACACAGGUCUCUGCAAAACCGUAAGGUGACGUAUAGGGGCUGACGCCUGCCCGGUGCUGGAAGGUUAAGAGGAGUGCUUAGCUUCGGCGAAGGUACGAAUUGAAGCCCCAGUAAACGGCGGCCGUAACUAUAACGGUCCUAAGGUAGCGAAAUUCCUUGUCGGGUAAGUUCCGACCCGCACGAAAGGCGCAACGAUCUGGGCACUGUCUCAACGAGAGACUCGGUGAAAUUAUAGUACCUGUGAAGAUGCAGGUUACCCGCGACAGGACGGAAAGACCCCGUGGAGCUUUACUGCAACCUGAUAUGGAAUGUUUGUACCGCUUGUACAGGAUAGGUAGGAGCCGAAGAGACGUGUGCGCUAGCAUACGAGGAGGCAAUGGUGGGAUACUACCCUGGCUGUAUGACCAUUCUAACCCGCCACGCUUAGCGCGUGGGGAGACAGUGUCAGGUGG
RNAcentral lists this ribosomal RNA (1028 nucleotides) under Listeria monocytogenes. RNAcentral describes it as "partial 23S ribosomal RNA". It matches the Rfam family "Bacterial large subunit ribosomal RNA", at positions 1239 to 2264 of the family's 2925-position model. Lineage: Bacteria; Bacillati; Bacillota; Bacilli; Caryophanales; Listeriaceae. The record is from RNAcentral.